Cottoperca gobio is the source of this 1525-nucleotide long non-coding RNA. RefSeq lists it as uncharacterized. The transcript has 3 exons. NCBI's taxonomy places the organism in Eukaryota, Metazoa, Chordata, Actinopteri, Perciformes, Bovichtidae. The record is from RefSeq and is a predicted model, not a curated record.
GUGGGAGUGGCUGGCUGGUGAGGUGAGAAGGAGGCGAGGUGUGGAAAAGUACCGGGCUGAGCUUUUGUGAGAUGAUGGCUGGUUUCAUAACAGCUUUUUUUUUACCUGAACCUGGGUUCAGGGCUAGUAUCUGACUGUCGCUGAUGUCAACCUUUCCUGCAUCAUGUCAUGCUCAGACGGGCAUCUUAUGAUCGGAUAUCUACUGAGGGAAUUUAUAUUGGUUUGUGUUUACAUCAGAUUAUGUCCCACCAUACGUUGAAAAUGACAACAUAGCGCUGGAGGAACUGUAUGGCAUCAACAACAGGAAGGAGGCUUCACGGCCGGAGGCUGCUUUUAUUGUGGCGGGAGAAACCAGUGACGCGAACAAUUCAGUGUUUGACUACAAUGUCACAAGUUAUGGUGUUUUUAAAAAAGGGGACGUAACACUUCAUAAUAAUUUUAUAAUACUUUAAUAGAAGGAUGUUGGUGUAUGAACCUCUCCUGCAACCCACUUUCCAUUAGGGAUUGUAUAAAUGAUUCACAUGAUGUUGAAUUUGUUUAAUUUCCAAGGAUUUUGUGGGGGCGACUGCUGUAAACUACCUGUCUACUCUCAACAACAAUUAGCUCCUGUGGCAGCGCUGCAGGUUACAUCUCUCCAAAGCCUCCAUGUCUCCAGUCAACAGAAGCACACUGAACAGUUUUAUCAGCUUCAAUUACGACAAAAUGUACCUCACCUCUUAAAAAUAUGAACAUAAUAACAACAAAUUGCUGAGAGACCACAAGGCAAUAUUCAAAGAUGUAUCCAAAACACUUGUUCCCAAUUGCAAAAUAAUGAGCAGGAAGUACUGUGCUGCUGUGAGUAACAGAAAAAACAGUGUAGCUCUCUCUGUAUGCCUUUUGGAAGUUGCUGCCAAACAUAUCUCCAAGACCACAGCUAUUACCUCUGUUCAGUGCCAUGCAAUUUAUAUGGUGCUCCCCAGGGAAAUUAACUUUGUGGUGACAUCUCUCAAGAUCAACAAUUCUGAAAGGAAUUUAGGCCAUUCCUCAACAGAGAGGAAUAGUAUAAUUACGGGCCAUGAACUUCAGCAGAGGAAUGUUCUCUCUCUCUCGACUAUAUCAUUUUAUUUGUAGGAGUGCUGGAGAACUGAUGUUUAACAGUUUGCUUUACAUGCCAGAACUAGGAAUUUGACCUUAGAACUUAAAGAUGUUUGAAGUUUCUUAAAGCAAAACUCCAGACGUUCACAAGCUGUGCAUUUGGAGAUAUUAUAAUAUGAUGAAAAGGCCAUAAAUAACUAUUGGCCUUGAAUAAAUACAAUUAUGAAAAUAUAAUAACAUUUGUAAUGCUACAUGCUACGAGAGUCACCGGGAGACUGGGCUGCUGCUGGCUCAAAUGAAGUGUCAAUCGAAAGGUCAGAGUUCGGCAUCCCUUUACCAAUUAUCGAAAUAGCGCUAAUAACUUGAUAUAUGCUGUUUUUACCGUGUUUGAUCACAACAUUAAACGCAUCGAUCAGCUGAUUUCAAAGAUUGCAACAGCUGUUCAUGGGCU